GGGUUGUGAGGUUAAGCGACUAAGCGUACACGGUGGAUGCCCUGGCAGUCAGAGGCGAUGAAGGACGUGCUAAUCUGCGAUAAGCGUCGGUAAGGUGAUAUGAACCGUUAUAACCGGCGAUUUCCGAAUGGGGAAACCCAGUGUGUUUCGACACACUAUCAUUAACUGAAUCCAUAGGUUAAUGAGGCGAACCGGGGGAACUGAAACAUCUAAGUACCCCGAGGAAAAGAAAUCAACCGAGAUUCCCCCAGUAGCGGCGAGCGAACGGGGAGCAGCCCAGAGCCUGAAUCAGUGUGUGUGUUAGUGGAAGUGUCUGGAAAGGCGCGCGAUACAGGGUGACAGCCCCGUACACAAAAAUGCACAUGCUGUGAGCUCGAUGAGUAGGGCGGGACACGUGGUAUCCUGUCUGAAUAUGGGGGGACCAUCCUCCAAGGCUAAAUACUCCUGACUGACCGAUAGUGAACCAGUACCGUGAGGGAAAGGCGAAAAGAACCCCGGCGAGGGGAGUGAAAAAGAACCUGAAACCGUGUACGUACAAGCAGUGGGAGCCCUGAUUUAUCAGGGUGACUGCGUACCUUUUGUAUAAUGGGUCAGCGACUUAUAUUCUGUAGCAAGGUUAACCGAAUAGGGGAGCCGGAGGGAAACCGAGUCUUAACUGGGCGUUAAGUUGCAGGGUAUAGACCCGAAACCCGGUGAUCUAGCCAUGGGCAGGUUGAAGGUUGGGUAACACUAACUGGAGGACCGAACCGACUAAUGUUGAAAAAUUAGCGGAUGACUUGUGGCUGGGGGUGAAAGGCCAAUCAAACCGGGAGAUAGCUGGUUCUCCCCGAAAGCUAUUUAGGUAGCGCCUCGUGAAUUCAUCUCCGGGGGUAGAGCACUGUUUCGGCAAGGGGGUCAUCCCGACUUACCAACCCGAUGCAAACUGCGAAUACCGGAGAAUGUUAUCACGGGAGACACACGGCGGGUGCUAACGUCCGUCGUGAAGAGGGAAACAACCCAGACCGCCAGCUAAGGUCCCAAAGUCAUGGUUAAGUGGGAAACGAUGUGGGAAGGCCCAGACAGCCAGGAUGUUGGCUUAGAAGCAGCCAUCAUUUAAAGAAAGCGUAAUAGCUCACUGGUCGAGUCGGCCUGCGCGGAAGAUGUAACGGGGCUAAACCAUGCACCGAAGCUGCGGCAGCGACACUGUGUGUUGUUGGGUAGGGGAGCGUUCUGUAAGCCUGUGAAGGUGUGCUGUGAGGCAUGCUGGAGGUAUCAGAAGUGCGAAUGCUGACAUAAGUAACGAUAAAGCGGGUGAAAAGCCCGCUCGCCGGAAGACCAAGGGUUCCUGUCCAACGUUAAUCGGGGCAGGGUGAGUCGACCCCUAAGGCGAGGCCGAAAGGCGUAGUCGAUGGGAAACAGGUUAAUAUUCCUGUACUUGGUGUUACUGCGAAGGGGGGACGGAGAAGGCUAUGUUGGCCGGGCGACGGUUGUCCCGGUUUAAGCGUGUAGGCUGGUUUUCCAGGCAAAUCCGGAGAAUCAAGGCUGAGGCGUGAUGACGAGGCACUACGGUGCUGAAGCAACAAAUGCCCUGCUUCCAGGAAAAGCCUCUAAGCAUCAGGUAACAUCAAAUCGUACCCCAAACCGACACAGGUGGUCAGGUAGAGAAUACCAAGGCGCUUGAGAGAACUCGGGUGAAGGAACUAGGCAAAAUGGUGCCGUAACUUCGGGAGAAGGCACGCUGAUAUGUAGGUGAAGCGACUUGCUCGUGGAGCUGAAAUCAGUCGAAGAUACCAGCUGGCUGCAACUGUUUAUUAAAAACACAGCACUGUGCAAACACGAAAGUGGACGUAUACGGUGUGACGCCUGCCCGGUGCCGGAAGGUUAAUUGAUGGGGUCAGCGCAAGCGAAGCUCUUGAUCGAAGCCCCGGUAAACGGCGGCCGUAACUAUAACGGUCCUAAGGUAGCGAAAUUCCUUGUCGGGUAAGUUCCGACCUGCACGAAUGGCGUAAUGAUGGCCAGGCUGUCUCCACCCGAGACUCAGUGAAAUUGAACUCGCUGUGAAGAUGCAGUGUACCCGCGGCAAGACGGAAAGACCCCGUGAACCUUUACUAUAGCUUGACACUGAACACUGGUCCUUGAUGUGUAGGAUAGGUGGGAGGCUUUGAAGUGUGGACGCCAGUCUGCAUGGAGCCGUCCUUGAAAUACCACCCUUUAAUGGCUGGUGUUCUAACGUUGGCCCCUUACCGGGGUUGCGGACAGUGUCUGGUGGGUAGUUUGACUGGGGCGGUCUCCUCCUAAAGAGUAACGGAGGAGCACGAAGGUUGGCUAAUCCUGGUCGGACAUCAGGAGGUUAGUGCAAUGGCAUAAGCCAGCUUGACUGCGAGCGUGACGGCGCGAGCAGGUGCGAAAGCAGGUCAUAGUGAUCCGGUGGUUCUGAAUGGAAGGGCCAUCGCUCAACGGAUAAAAGGUACUCCGGGGAUAACAGGCUGAUACCGCCCAAGAGUUCAUAUCGACGGCGGUGUUUGGCACCUCGAUGUCGGCUCAUCACAUCCUGGGGCUGAAGUAGGUCCCAAGGGUAUGGCUGUUCGCCAUUUAAAGUGGUACGCGAGCUGGGUUUAGAACGUCGUGAGACAGUUCGGUCCCUAUCUGCCGUGGGCGCUGGAGAACUGAGGGGGGCUGCUCCUAGUACGAGAGGACCGGAGUGGACGCAUCACUGGUGUUCGGGUUGUCAUGCCAAUGGCACUGCCCGGUAGCUAAAUGCGGAAGAGAUAAGUGCUGAAAGCAUCUAAGCACGAAACUUGCCCCGAGAUGAGUUCUCCCUGAGACCUGGAGUCUCCUGAAGGAACGUUGAAGACGACGACGUUGAUAGGCCGGGUGUGUAAGCGCAGCGAUGCGUUGAGCUAACCGGUACUAAUGAACCGUGAGGCUUAACCUUACAACGCCGAAGGUGUUU
This 2932-nucleotide ribosomal RNA is filed under the name Escherichia albertii. Its description in RNAcentral is "23S ribosomal RNA". It matches the Rfam family "Bacterial large subunit ribosomal RNA". The record is from RNAcentral. Lineage: Bacteria; Pseudomonadati; Pseudomonadota; Gammaproteobacteria; Enterobacterales; Enterobacteriaceae.